GGUUGUUGUAGGCAAUGCCUUGGCUUAACUUGCGAAGAAGGAAGAAGCGUACAUCUUUUUUAUGGUAGAACUGUGAUUUUUCAACCUCAUGUCUCUGAACACCAGCACAGCACCUUUAUUGGCGUGCUAUUGUAUGCAGUGGAAUAAAUCCAACGAUUUUCACUUCUACCUCGGACGCGAUGUCAUGUGGUCAGAUGUUGUCUUUAUUAACUAAGUAAAAUGAUAGAUUACUAUGAAAGAGCCCUGAAUACAAUAAGUAAUACCCGACGAACUUAAGCAUAUAAUUAAGCGGAGGAAAUUAAAACAACUGUGAUGCCCAGAGUAGUGGCGAACGAAAUGGGAACAGCACCUUCAAUUAACCGGAUUUAUCUGGUUUGUUUGAUCAGAGCUCGAUGAGUCUGUGCAGAGUUGUCUUUCUGUUGGAAAACAGUGUGGCUGGCGGUGAUGAUCCGCAACAAUUUCUACAUUCGCUUCUUGCUCUGUUUUCUGGAGUAGGCUACUUUCAAAUUGGUGGCUGAACUGCAGGUAACUCUCUGCAAACGCUAAAUAUUCGUUAAGUCCGAUAGUGCAGAAGUACCGUGAGGGAAAGGUGAAAAGACAGCUCAAAAGUUAGUUAACAGACCUGAAUCUACAACAACAGAAGGCUAUGCGUAAUGUUCUGGUCCUCGUGGAGUUCUCUCUCCGUUGUAUCAUCCAUUUUAUUCUUUCUAAGAGGAUCACAUGGUUGCAUUCGUGUAGCGCCCGUCUUGAAACACGGACUGAGGAGUCAUUCAUGCAUGCAAGUCGAUGAUGUUUAUUGCAUCUCAGCGCUAUGAGCAUGUUUGAAUGGACCCGAAAGGUGGUGAACUAUUCUUGGGGAAGUUGACGUCAGAGGAAACUCUGAUUGAGGACUUAUGUGUUACUGACGUGCAAUUCGUUCAUUUUACCUGUGAAUAGGGGCGAAAGACUAAUCGAACCACCUAGUAGCUGGUUCCCCCCGAAGUUUGUCCUAGGAUAGCGGGCGAGAUGUUUUGUCAUGUAUAGUAGAGCAAUGUUUGGCGGAUACGGGCGUGUAUACACUUGACCGACUCACAAACUACAAACGUACAUCUGAGUGGAAUAGUAACAUGUUCUCUCGGUAGAAAUUCUCGCCUCGUGGACCGUUUUUGGUAAGCAGAUGCGGUGCUUUGGAAUGCUCCAAGCGUGAUGAUAAGGAAUAUUUUUAUCGGUUUAUUGCUUCAAAAAGGUGUUAAUACAUUUAGACAGUCCGACGGUGGCCAUGGAAGUUGGAAUCCGCUAAGGAGUGUGUAACAACUCACGGACCGAAUGUGUUAGCCCUUAAAAUUGACUGUGCUUAUACCGUUGAUCCGAGAUGUCACAGAUCUAAUUUGUAUUAGGUUUUGUAGGGGGGUGUAUCUGUUGUGAAAAAGUGUUGUUGUGAUGCAGCAUCGAACUCCAGAUAGUGCAGAUCUCAGUAGGAGUAGCAGUGUUUAAGACUAAACCUUAAAGACGUAUGUAGACAAGGCUUUCAUAGACACAUCAUAUGGCUAUGAGUUAGUCGAUCUUAACACAUCAAGAUGUUGUGGAAAAGGAUAAGGGUUAAUAUUCCCUUGCUUGUUCGAAACUAAUUUGGCGACUCAAUAUUCUUUCACCUUACCGAAAGUACACUAGUAAGUGCGUUUUCUAUGCACUAUGACUAUAUGAUCUCUGUUGAAGAGGAUAAUCCUAAGACGCUGAGUAAGUAUAGGAAAUGAGACGAUUAUUCGUCAACUAGGUGGUCUUGCGGCACUUUUAAGUGUGAGAUAGUAGUUACGAGCAGAUCGUACCAACAACCGCAUCAGGUCUCUGAGGUUCAUAACCUUUCGUUGAUGGAAAAAAAUACGUGAGGGAAGUCGGCAAAUUAAAUCUGUAACCUUGGGAAAAGGAUUGGCUCUGCAGGGGUUUCGAAGAUUUAAUUCUUCAGGCAGUGUUAGGUGUCGACUCUGUUGACCUUAGCUACUACACGUUGAAGUAACUUCGAUCUACGCCAUAGUAGAACUGAGACUACGAGGGGAAUCCGACAGUUUAACUAAAACCAAGCAUUCUGUUAGUGUCAAUAACUAUAGCACAGAAUGUGAAUUCUGCCCGGUGCUUUGAAUGUCAUUGUGAGGAGACUCAUUUAAGCGCGGGUUAACGGCAGGCGUAACUAUGACGCUUUCAACGUAGCAAAAUGCCUCGUCAUCUAAUUAGUGACUCGCAUGAACGGAUUAAUGAGAUUCCUAC
Molecule: ribosomal RNA, 2241 nt
Filed under: invertebrate metagenome
Description: eukaryotic LSU rRNA
Rfam family: Eukaryotic large subunit ribosomal RNA (bases 240-2241)
Source: RNAcentral